RNAcentral lists this ribosomal RNA (900 nucleotides) under uncultured bacterium. Its description in RNAcentral is "bacterial SSU rRNA". It matches the Rfam family "Bacterial small subunit ribosomal RNA", at positions 1 to 910 of the family's 1533-position model. The record is from RNAcentral.
GGGAAUUUGCGGGCGCGAAUUCGCCCUUCAGGCCUAACCAUGCAAGUCGAACGCGAAAGUCACUUCGGUGGCGAGUAGAGUGGCGGACGGGUGAGUAACGCGUAGGAAUCUGCCCUGUAGUGGGGGAUAACCCGGGGAAACUCGGGCUAAUACCGCAUACGCCCCACGGGGGAAAGCGGGGGAUCCUUCGGGACCUCGCGCUAUAGGAAGAGCCUGCGUCGGAUUAGCUAGUUGGUAGGGUAAAGGCCUACCAAGGCGACGAUCCGUAGCUGGUCUGAGAGGAUGAUCAGCCACACCGGAACUGAGACACGGUCCGGACUCCUACGGGAGGCAGCAGUGGGGAAUAUUGCGCAAUGGGCGAAAGCCUGACGCAGCCAUGCCGCGUGUGUGAAGAAGGCCUUCGGGUUGUAAAGCACUUUCAGUGGGGAGGAAAGAGCCCAGGCUAAUACCCUGGGUCGUUGACGCUACCCACAGAAGAAGCACCGGCUAAUUCCGUGCCAGCAGCCGCGGUAAUACGGAAGGUGCGAGCGUUAAUCGGAAUUACUGGGCGUAAAGCGCGCGUAGGCGGCUUGGUAAGUCGGAUGUGAAAGCCCCGGGCUCAACCUGGGAACGGCAUUCGAUACUGCUGAGCUGGAGUACGAGAGAGGGGGGUGGAAUUCCAGGUGUAGCGGUGAAAUGCGUAGAGAUCUGGAGGAACACCAGUGGCGAAGGCGGCCCCCUGGCUCGAUACUGACGCUGAGGUGCGAAAGCGUGGGGAGCAAACAGGAUUAGAUACCCUGGUAGUCCACGCUGUAAACGAUGUCUGCUAGCCGUUGGGAUCCUUGAGGUCUCGGUGGCGCAGCUAACGCGAUAAGCAGACCGCCUGGGGAGUACGGCCGCAAGGGUAAAACUCAAAUGAAU